RNAcentral lists this ribosomal RNA (468 nucleotides) under uncultured bacterium. RNAcentral describes it as "partial 16S ribosomal RNA". It matches the Rfam family "Bacterial small subunit ribosomal RNA", at positions 28 to 507 of the family's 1533-position model. The record is from RNAcentral.
GACGAACGCUGGCGGCGUGCUUAACACAUGCAAGUCGAACGGAAAGGCCCUGCUUUUGUGGUGUGCUCGAGUUGCGAACGGGUGAGUAACACGUGAGUAACCUGCCCUUUACUUUGGGAUAACUUCAGGAAACUGGGUCUAUUACCGGAUAGGAGCUCCUUCUGCAUGGUGGUGGUUGGAAAGUUUCGGCGGUUGGGGAUGGACUCGCGGCUUAUCAGCUUGUUGGGGGGGUAGUGGCUUACCAAGGCUUUGACGGGUAGUCGUCCUGAGAGGGUGACCGGCCACAAUGGGACUGAGAUACGGACCAGAAUGCUACGGGAGGCAGCAGUGGGGAAUAUUGCACAAUGGGCGGAAGCAUGAUGCAGAAACGCCGCGUGCGGGAUGACGGCCUUCGGGUUGUAAACAGAUUUCCAAUGUGAAGAAGAGUGAGUGACGGUAAUGGGUAAAGAAGCACCGGCUAACUACGUG